RNAcentral lists this ribosomal RNA (253 nucleotides) under uncultured bacterium. RNAcentral describes it as "partial 16S ribosomal RNA". It matches the Rfam family "Bacterial small subunit ribosomal RNA", at positions 524 to 776 of the family's 1533-position model. The record is from RNAcentral.
UACGGAGGGAGCUAGCGUUGUUCGGAAUUACUGGGCGUAAAGCGCGCGUAGGCGGCUUUGUAAGUUAGAGGUGAAAGCCCGGGGCUCAACUCCGGAAUUGCCUUUAAGACUGCAUCGCUAGAAUCCGGGAGAGGUGAGUGGAAUUCCGGGUGUAGAGGUGAAAUUCGUAGAUAUUCGGAAGAACACCAGUGGCGAAGGCGGCUCACUGGACCGGUAUUGACGCUGAGGUGCGAAAGCGUGGGGAGCAAACAGG